Molecule: ribosomal RNA, 253 nt
Filed under: uncultured bacterium
Lineage: Bacteria
Description: partial 16S ribosomal RNA
Rfam family: Bacterial small subunit ribosomal RNA
Source: RNAcentral
UACGUAGGGACCAGGCGUUGUUCGGAUUUACUGGGCGUAAAGGGCGCGUAGGCGGCGCGGUAAGUCACUUGUGAAAUCUCUGAGCUUAACUCAGAACGGCCAAGUGAUACUGCAGUGCUAGAGUGCGGAAGGGGCAAUCGGAAUUCUUGGUGUAGCGGUGAAAUGCGUAGAUAUCAAGAGGAACACCUGAGGUGAAGACGGGUUGCUGGGCCGACACUGACGCUGAGGCGCGAAAGCCAGGGGAGCAAACGGG